AUUGAACGCUGGCGGCAGGCCUAACACAUGCAAGUCGAGCGGAUGAAGGCAGCUUGCUCCUGGAUUCAGCGGCGGACGGGUGAGUAAUGCCUAGGAAUCUGCCUGGUAGUGGUGGAUAAUGUCUGGAAACGGGCGCUAAUAACGCAUAAUACCUGAGGGAGAAAGAGGGGGAUGGUCGGACCGCACGCGCUGAGGUGAGCCUAGGUCGGGUUAGCUAGUUGGUGGGGUGAGGGCCUACCAAGCCGACGAUCCGUAAGUUGUCUGAUAGGAUGAUCAGUCACACUGGAACGGGAACACGGUCCAGGCGACUGAGGGAGGGAACAGUGGGGAAUAUUGGACAAUGGGCGAAAGCAUGAUCCAGCCAUGCCGCGUGUGUGAAGAAGGUCUUCGGAUUGUAAAGCACGUUAAGGUGUGAGGAAGGGCAGUAAGUUAAUACCUUGCUGUUUUGACGUUACCAACAGAAUAAGCACCGGCUAACUUCGUG
Molecule: ribosomal RNA, 484 nt
Filed under: uncultured bacterium
Lineage: Bacteria
Description: partial 16S ribosomal RNA
Rfam family: Bacterial small subunit ribosomal RNA
Source: RNAcentral